UGCCCCAUGGCUGAGUUGGUUACAGCGUCCGACUGUUAGCAGCGUUGCAAGCGGUAUCGGAAGGUCGUGAGUUCGAGCCUCACUGGGGCAG
Non-coding RNA from Trametes punicea, 91 nucleotides. The record is from the annotation of a GenBank genome assembly. Lineage: Eukaryota; Fungi; Basidiomycota; Agaricomycetes; Polyporales; Polyporaceae.